Molecule: ribosomal RNA, 468 nt
Filed under: uncultured bacterium
Lineage: Bacteria
Description: partial 16S ribosomal RNA
Rfam family: Bacterial small subunit ribosomal RNA
Source: RNAcentral
GACGAACGCUGGCGGCGUGCUUAACACAUGCAAGUCGAACGGAAAGGCCCUGCUUUUGUGGGGUGCUCGAGUGGCGAACGGGUGAGUAACACGUGAGUAACCUGCCCUUGACUUUGGGAUAACUUCAGGAAACUGGGGCUAAUACCGGAUAGGAGCUCCUGCUGCAUGGUGGGGGUUGGAAAGUUUCGGCGGUUGGGGAUGGACUCGCGGCUUAUCAGCUUGUUGGUGGGGUAGUGGCUUACCAAGGCUUUGACGGGUAGCCGGCCUGAGAGGGUGACCGGCCACAAUGGGCCUGAGAUACGGCCCAGACUCCUACCGGAGGCAGCAGUGGGGAAUAUUGCACAAUGGGCGGAAGCCUGAUGCAGCAACGCCGCGUGCGGGAUGACGGCCUUUGGGUUGUAAACCGCUUUCGCCUGUGACGAAGCGUGAGUGACGGUAAUGGGUAAAGAAGCACCGGCUAACUACGUG